This 2904-nucleotide ribosomal RNA is filed under the name Enterobacter hormaechei. RNAcentral describes it as "23S ribosomal RNA". It matches the Rfam family "Bacterial large subunit ribosomal RNA". The record is from RNAcentral. Lineage: Bacteria; Pseudomonadati; Pseudomonadota; Gammaproteobacteria; Enterobacterales; Enterobacteriaceae.
GGUUAAGCGACUAAGCGUACACGGUGGAUGCCCUGGCAGUCAGAGGCGAUGAAGGACGUGCUAAUCUGCGAAAAGCGCCGGCGAGGUGAUAUGAACCCUUGACCCGGCGAUGUCCGAAUGGGGAAACCCAGUGUGUUCCGACACACUAUCGUUAACUGAAUACAUAGGUUAACGAGGCGAACCGGGGGAACUGAAACAUCUAAGUACCCCGAGGAAAAGAAAUCAACCGAGAUUCCCCCAGUAGCGGCGAGCGAACGGGGAGCAGCCCGGAGUCUGAAUCAGCUUGUGUGUUAGUGGAACGGUCUGGAAAGUCCGACGGUACAGGGUGAUAGUCCCGUACACGAAAAUGUACAUGCUGUGAACUCGAAGAGUAGGGCGGGACACGUGGUAUCCUGUCUGAAUAUGGGGGGACCAUCCUCCAAGGCUAAAUACUCCUGACUGACCGAUAGUGAACCAGUACCGUGAGGGAAAGGCGAAAAGAACCCCGGCGAGGGGAGUGAAAAAGAACCUGAAACCGUGUACGUACAAGCAGUGGGAGCACCUUCGGGUGUGACUGCGUACCUUUUGUAUAAUGGGUCAGCGACUUAUAUUCUGUAGCAAGGUUAACCGUAUAGGGGAGCCGAAGGGAAACCGAGUCUUAACUGGGCGUUAAGUUGCAGGGUAUAGACCCGAAACCCGGUGAUCUAGCCAUGGGCAGGUUGAAGGUUGGGUAACACUAACUGGAGGACCGAACCGACUAAUGUUGAAAAAUUAGCGGAUGACCUGUGGCUGGGGGUGAAAGGCCAAUCAAACCGGGAGAUAGCUGGUUCUCCCCGAAAGCUAUUUAGGUAGCGCCUCGUGAACUCAUCUUCGGGGGUAGAGCACUGUUUCGGCUAGGGGGCCAUCCCGGCUUACCAACCCGAUGCAAACUACGAAUACCGAAGAAUGUUAUCACGGGAGACACACGGCGGGUGCUAACGUCCGUCGUGAAGAGGGAAACAACCCAGACCGCCAGCUAAGGUCCCAAAGUCAUGGUUAAGUGGGAAACGAUGUGGGAAGGCACAGACAGCCAGGAUGUUGGCUUAGAAGCAGCCAUCAUUUAAAGAAAGCGUAAUAGCUCACUGGUCGAGUCGGCCUGCGCGGAAGAUGUAACGGGGCUAAACCAUGCACCGAAGCUGCGGCAGCGACGCUUAUGCGUUGUUGGGUAGGGGAGCGUUCUGUAAGCCGUUGAAGGUGUGCUGUGAGGCAUGCUGGAGGUAUCAGAAGUGCGAAUGCUGACAUAAGUAACGAUAAAGCGGGUGAAAAGCCCGCUCGCCGGAAGACCAAGGGUUCCUGUCCAACGUUAAUCGGGGCAGGGUGAGUCGACCCCUAAGGCGAGGCCGAAAGGCGUAGUCGAUGGGAAACAGGUUAAUAUUCCUGUACUUGGUGUUACUGCGAAGGGGGGACGGAGAAGGCUAUGUCAGCCGGGCGACGGUUGUCCCGGUUUAAGCAUGUAGGCGGAGGUUCCAGGUAAAUCCGGUACCUUUUAACGCUGAGGUGUGAUGACGAGGCACUACGGUGCUGAAGUGAUAAAUGCCCUGCUUCCAGGAAAAGCCUCUAAGCAUCAGGUAACACGAAAUCGUACCCCAAACCGACACAGGUGGUCAGGUAGAGAAUACCAAGGCGCUUGAGAGAACUCGGGUGAAGGAACUAGGCAAAAUGGUGCCGUAACUUCGGGAGAAGGCACGCUGAUAGGUAGGUGAAGCCCCUGCGGGCGGAGCUGAAAUCAGUCGAAGAUACCAGCUGGCUGCAACUGUUUAUUAAAAACACAGCACUGUGCAAACACGAAAGUGGACGUAUACGGUGUGACGCCUGCCCGGUGCCGGAAGGUUAAUUGAUGGGGUUAGCGGCAACGCGAAGCUCUUGAUCGAAGCCCCGGUAAACGGCGGCCGUAACUAUAACGGUCCUAAGGUAGCGAAAUUCCUUGUCGGGUAAGUUCCGACCUGCACGAAUGGCGUAAUGAUGGCCAGGCUGUCUCCACCCGAGACUCAGUGAAAUUGAACUCGCUGUGAAGAUGCAGUGUACCCGCGGCAAGACGGAAAGACCCCGUGAACCUUUACUAUAGCUUGACACUGAACACUGGUCCUUGAUGUGUAGGAUAGGUGGGAGGCUUUGAAGCGUGGACGCCAGUCUGCGUGGAGCCGCCCUUGAAAUACCACCCUUUAAUGGCUGGUGUUCUAACGUAGACCCGUGAUCCGGGUUGCGGACAGUGUCUGGUGGGUAGUUUGACUGGGGCGGUCUCCUCCCAAAGAGUAACGGAGGAGCACGAAGGUUGGCUAAUCCUGGUCGGACAUCAGGAGGUUAGUGCAAUGGCAUAAGCCAGCUUGACUGCGAGCGUGACGGCGCGAGCAGGUGCGAAAGCAGGUCAUAGUGAUCCGGUGGUUCUGAAUGGAAGGGCCAUCGCUCAACGGAUAAAAGGUACUCCGGGGAUAACAGGCUGAUACCGCCCAAGAGUUCAUAUCGACGGCGGUGUUUGGCACCUCGAUGUCGGCUCAUCACAUCCUGGGGCUGAAGUAGGUCCCAAGGGUAUGGCUGUUCGCCAUUUAAAGUGGUACGCGAGCUGGGUUUAGAACGUCGUGAGACAGUUCGGUCCCUAUCUGCCGUGGGCGCUGGAGAAUUGAGGGGGGCUGCUCCUAGUACGAGAGGACCGGAGUGGACGCAUCACUGGUGUUCGGGUUGUCAUGCCAAUGGCACUGCCCGGUAGCUAAAUGCGGAAGAGAUAAGUGCUGAAAGCAUCUAAGCACGAAACUUGCCCCGAGAUGAGUUCUCCCUGAGACUUUAAGUCUCCUGAAGGAACGUUGAAGACGACGACGUUGAUAGGUCGGGUGUGUAAGCGCAGCGAUGCGUUGAGCUAACCGAUACUAAUGAACCGUGAGGCUUAACCUU